GGCAGCCCUCCUGCUGCGGGUCGCCCUGCUGCUGCCCUGGGCCUGCAGCUCCUGGCACGUGGGUCUCUGGGAGUCCUUGUGGAUGUGCCUCUCCAGGGCCCUCCAUCCUCGGUGGGCAGGAGACUCCCCUAGGGAGCUUGCUCUCAAGUAAAUUCAUGGCCAUCGGAUGAUAUUAAUGAGACAUACACGGCAUCAGGACCUUCACAGCCACUACAGAGCCGUCCUGCAGGAGAGAUGUUACUUUUACCAUCAAUGUAAAAACUGAGCCUUAAACUGCUUCAGAAACUGUUUAGAUUCCUUCAACUGAAUAUUCACACUGGAUUUUGAAUCAAGGCCUACGUGGCUUUAGAAAUUUAAGAUCCAAACCGUACCACUGU
Molecule: long non-coding RNA, 377 nt
Organism: Gorilla gorilla gorilla (western lowland gorilla)
Lineage: Eukaryota; Metazoa; Chordata; Mammalia; Primates; Hominidae
Exons: 3
Source: RefSeq, a predicted model, not a curated record